This 73-nucleotide transfer RNA is filed under the name Cavia porcellus (domestic guinea pig). It matches the Rfam family "tRNA". Rfam says of the family: Transfer RNA (tRNA) molecules are approximately 80 nucleotides in length. Lineage: Eukaryota; Metazoa; Chordata; Mammalia; Rodentia; Caviidae. The record is from Rfam by way of RNAcentral.
GGGAGUGUAGCUCAGUUGGUGGAGUACUUGCCUGUUAUGUAUGUACCUCUGGGUUCAACCCUCAGCUCUACAA